AUGGAGUCGUCGUCGGUGGCGGUGGUGGCGGUGCCGUUCCCGAUGCAGGGCCACCUGAACCAGCUGCUGCACCUGUCGCUGCAGCUCGCGUCCGAGUCUCACGGGCUGGACCUGCACUACGCGGCGCCCGCGGCGCACGUCCACUAGGCGCGCGCGCGCGUGCACGGCUGGGACGCGGAGGCGCUCCGCUACGUCCACUUCCACGAGCUCGAGAUCCCCGCGUUCGCCGCCCCGCCCCCCGACCCGGACGCCGCCUCGCCCUUCCCCACCCACAUCAUGCCCAUGUUCGAGGCCUACGUCGCCGGCGUGGCCGCCCCGCUCGCCGCGCUCCUCCGGGAGCUCUCCGCAUCCCGCCGCCGCGUGGUCGUCCUGCACGACGUCCUCAACGCCUUCGCCGCCGUCGAGGCGGAGCGGCUGCCCAACGGGCAGUCCUCCGGGCUCUACUGCGGCGCCGUGUUGUACAUGGUCGGCAUGGUGGACGCCGGGCACCGCCUCCUGCGGGACAGGGGCCUCGAGUACGCCCCCAUGGACAGGUUCGUGUCCAGGGAGUUCAUGGAGUGCGCCAAGAGACAGUACAUCAUGGCGCAGUCGGUCUCGCGCGACGGUGGCAUGAUCGCCAACACGUGCAGCGCGCUCGAGGGCGAGUUCGUCGACGCCUUCGCCCAGACCCUCGCCGCCGUCCGCCAGAGGAUCUUCGCUGUCUGGCCGUUGAAUCCUCUGCUGGAGCUGGAGCUGGACCAGAUCGACGCGAAGCAGGGGCGGCACGAGUGCCUGGACUGGCUCGACAAGGAGCCGGCGGCGUCGGCGCUCUACGUGUCGUUCGGCUCGAGGUCCUCACUCCGAGGUUCGCAGGUCGCGGAGCUCGCCGCAGCAAGCAGCGCUUCAUCUGGAUGCUGCGCGACGCCGACCGCGGCAGCGUGUCCACGGCCGACGCCUACAGCUUUGCAUCCAUCCAUCCGUGUGCUUUGCUUUGCUUGCUGGAGUGGUAGUAAUCGAGGCGCUGGUUUGCUUUGA
This 1014-nucleotide ribosomal RNA is filed under the name Triticum aestivum (bread wheat). RNAcentral's name for it is "partial small subunit ribosomal RNA". Lineage: Eukaryota; Viridiplantae; Streptophyta; Magnoliopsida; Poales; Poaceae. The record is from RNAcentral.